This 483-nucleotide unclassified non-coding RNA is filed under the name Hevea brasiliensis (rubber tree). The record is from RNAcentral. Lineage: Eukaryota; Viridiplantae; Streptophyta; Magnoliopsida; Malpighiales; Euphorbiaceae.
AUUUGUUACUGGAACAUCAAAGGUAAUUUGUUGAGCUAUGCACCUUACUAGUCUAGGGGUUUUCAUGGGUCCAGUUAGAUUUAUUGAGGUAUAUUUGCUUGACUGGACAGCUUUUAUUAUUAUUAGUAUUUAUGUCCCUGAUCGACUUUAAAAGAAAAUUGCUAACCCAACAUAAUCAAGUUCAUUGGUUUAUUAAUAAUUUCGAGUUGGGAAUUUGAACCUGAAAUAGCAAUCAGGUAUCUUCAUCAUAAAGAAGGCCAAAUAUAACUAAAAUUUAAAAGCCAAAUUAACAAAUCAAGAACAUUAUCACGAGGAAAAAUCAAUUUCAUAAAUUGAAGGUGUGCAAAUUGAGCUUGCAAUCAAUAUCUCUUAUAGAUAUGCAUUUUAUGAAGGGGAAGAACUGUAGAAGACAGAAGUGAGAGAUGAAAUGGAAAAAUGGGAAAGAAAAUGUAUGGGCCAACUAGCCAUGGUAUUUCAGUGUAA